RNAcentral lists this ribosomal RNA (65 nucleotides) under Marinospirillum celere. Its description in RNAcentral is "partial 23S rRNA. Bacterial LSU". Lineage: Bacteria; Pseudomonadati; Pseudomonadota; Gammaproteobacteria; Oceanospirillales; Oceanospirillaceae. The record is from RNAcentral.
CCGGGUGUGGAAGUGCAGCAAUGCAUUGAGCUAACCGGUACUAAUGACCCGUGAGGCUUGACCAU